UACGAAGGGAGCUAGCGUUGUUCGGAAUCACUGGGCGUAAAGCGCACGUAGGCGGGUGGGUCAGUCAGGGGUGAAAUCCCGGAGCUCAACUUCGGAACUGCCUUUGAUACAGCACGUCUUGAGUCCGAUAGAGGUGGGUGGAAUUCCUAGUGUAGAGGUGAAAUUCGUAGAUAUUAGGAAGAACACCGGUGGCGAAGGCGGCCCACUGGAUCGGUACUGACGCUGAGGUGCGAAAGCGUGGGGAGCAAACAGG
RNAcentral lists this ribosomal RNA (253 nucleotides) under uncultured bacterium. Its description in RNAcentral is "partial 16S ribosomal RNA". It matches the Rfam family "Bacterial small subunit ribosomal RNA", at positions 524 to 776 of the family's 1533-position model. The record is from RNAcentral.